GCCACGCCCGCUCAAGAAACUUAAAGGAAUUGACGGGGGCCCGCACAAGCGGUGGAGCAUGUGGUUUAAUUCGAUGAUACGCGAGGAACCUUACCUGGGCUCAAAUGUAUGUUGACGUAUUCUGAAAGGGAUACUUCUUCGGACAAUAUACAAGGUGCUGCAUGGUUGUCGUCAGCUCGUGCCGUGAGGUGUCGGGUUAAGUCCCAUAACGAGCGCAACCCCUAUCAUUAGUUGCCAUCAGGUAAUGCUGGGGACUCUAAAGGAACUGCCUACGCAAGUAGUGAGGAAGGCGGGGAUGACGUCAAAUCAGCACGGCCCUUACGUCCAGGGCUACACACGUGCUACAAUGGCCGAUACAGAGGGCAGCUACCUGGUGACAGGAUGCAAAUCUCCAAAGUCGGUCUCAGUUCGGAUCGGAGUCUGCAACCCGACUCCGUGAAGUUGGAUUCGCUAGUAAUCGCGCAUCAGCCAUGGCGCGGUGAAUACGUUCCCGGGCCUU
RNAcentral lists this ribosomal RNA (499 nucleotides) under uncultured Sphingobacteriales bacterium. RNAcentral describes it as "bacterial SSU rRNA". It matches the Rfam family "Bacterial small subunit ribosomal RNA", at positions 903 to 1382 of the family's 1533-position model. Lineage: Bacteria; Pseudomonadati; Bacteroidota; Sphingobacteriia; Sphingobacteriales. The record is from RNAcentral.